AAAUUCCACCUGUAGGAGGGGGAGAGAGCCCCUUCCUGAGAUUUGGGAUGCGUGCAGGAACAAGAUCCCCCUUGUGGAAUACACGGAGCAUUUCCCAGUGCAAGGGUAAGAAGCUGAGCUGUGGCUGCUCCAAAUGAGGGUAGAUGCCACUUUUCUUAGAAGAAUUGGAAAGAGAAGAAUGGUUCCCUUCCAGGCCCAUGCAAGCCUUGUCAAAUGAAAAGGAGAAUAACUGGCUUAUCAGAGGGAAAGUAUUUCUACACCAAAUACACCUACUUGCCUGGAUUACAUUAAAAGACACAGAAAAAAAUAUGUGAGAAAGAAGCAGUUUUCUGUCAGAUCUUGUGCUGAUCUUCUGAUCUGGGUAUCAUCCACUGGCUAAAUAAAAUAUUUGGAACAGGG
This is a non-coding RNA of Anas platyrhynchos (mallard), 399 nucleotides long. The record is from RefSeq and is a predicted model, not a curated record. Lineage: Eukaryota; Metazoa; Chordata; Aves; Anseriformes; Anatidae.